Long non-coding RNA from Aedes aegypti (yellow fever mosquito), 817 nucleotides. RefSeq lists it as uncharacterized. The record is from RefSeq and is a predicted model, not a curated record. The transcript has 2 exons. Lineage: Eukaryota; Metazoa; Arthropoda; Insecta; Diptera; Culicidae.
UGUUCUACAUGCAUAAGAACGAAUACAUUACAUGUGAUUCUUUAUACAAAGCUGUAUAUGUAUGUGAACGAUAGGCAGAGUCGAAGGGCUAAACUAAACUGAAAAUAAAUUAUAUCAGACAGUCUGAUCUGAAACGUAAACUGGAACACUUCACUUUUAUCAAUCUCUCCUGAGUGACUUAUCCCCUACCUUAGCUAUAUAUAGUUAUAUCUUUUCUAUAGAAAAGUAUUAGUUUCUUCUUGCGAAUGGAGGCGUAAUGGCGCUAAGAACAUUAUCUGGCAUGUAUAUGGCAAAAGUACUACGACGAAGGCUGAAUACAUUGAAAAUCAACAAUGAUACCCAGCGCAAUACGAUGCGGAACAACGUCGAGUGGCAACUACAUAUAGCAGGAUUAAUUCCUGUUUUUAGUCAUCUUCGAGAAGCUCCAAAUGGAUGCAUCAAAAUGAAACAUUCGAAAUUGUUAAUAUUAUAUGUAGAAGUCAGGAAUAGAUUUAGAAAAUCUAAGUGUCCUGGGUACAAGGAUUGUUAUAUUUUUUCCCACAUAGAUAUAUUUAAAGUGUUAAGUUAGUUACCGAUUUGACUAGUGAAUCGCAAUCUUAAUUGAAAGUUCGUGGUUGACGAAGGUCAAAUUCUGAAUAUCAGAAAGAUUUCUUAAGGGGAAAGAACUGUUGUGUUGUACAUGCAUAAGAACGAAUACAUUACAUGUGAUUCUUUAUACAAAGCUGUAUAUGUAUGUGAACGAUAGGCAGAGUCGAAGGGCUAAACUAAACUGAAAAUAAAUUAUAUCAGACAGUCUGAUCUGAAACGUAAACUGGAA